UACAGAGGGGGCAAGCGUUGUUCGGAAUUACUGGGCGUAAAGGGCGCGUAGGCGGCCUUCUAAGUCGAACGUGAAAUCCCCGGGCUCAACCCGGGAACUGCGUCCGAUACUGGAAGGCUUGAAUCCGGGAGAGGGAUGUGGAAUUCCAGGUGUAGCGGUGAAAUGCGUAGAUAUCUGGAGGAACACCGGUGGCGAAGGCGACAUCCUGGACCGGUAUUGACACUGAUGAGCGAAAGCUAGGGGAGCAAACGGG
Molecule: ribosomal RNA, 253 nt
Filed under: uncultured bacterium
Lineage: Bacteria
Description: partial 16S ribosomal RNA
Rfam family: Bacterial small subunit ribosomal RNA
Source: RNAcentral